CUCCGUUUCACAAUGUAAGUUAUUCUAGCAUUUUCCACAUUCAUAUUGAUGUUAAUGAAUCUAAACAUAUAUAUCUAUCUAGGUUUAUUAACAUCAAUAUGAAUGUGGGAAAUGCUAGAAUGACUUACAUUGUGAAACGG
RNAcentral lists this unclassified non-coding RNA (140 nucleotides) under Oryza sativa (Asian cultivated rice). Its description in RNAcentral is "partial microRNA MIR455b-30 precursor". The record is from RNAcentral. Lineage: Eukaryota; Viridiplantae; Streptophyta; Magnoliopsida; Poales; Poaceae.